Molecule: ribosomal RNA, 772 nt
Filed under: uncultured Bacteroidota bacterium
Lineage: Bacteria; Pseudomonadati; Bacteroidota
Description: bacterial SSU rRNA
Rfam family: Bacterial small subunit ribosomal RNA
Source: RNAcentral
GGAUCCAGACUUUGAUUAUGGCUCAGGAUGAACGCUGGCGGCGUGCCUAACACAUGCAAGUCGAACGAAGCUUGACGGAUGAUUUCUUCGGAAUGAAACCAGAUAUGACUUAGUGGCGGACGGGUGAGUAACACGUGAGCAACCUGCCUUUCAGAGGGGGAUAACGGCUGGAAACGGUCGCUAAUACCGCAUGAUGUGUUCGGAUGGCAUCAUCUGAACAUCAAAGAUUUAUCGCUGAAAGAUGGGCUCGCGUCUGAUUAGAUAGUUGGUGGGGUAACGGCCUACCAAGUCGACGAUCAGUAGCCGGACUGAGAGGUUGAACGGCCACAUUGGGACUGAGAUACGGCCCAGACUCCUACGGGAGGCAGCAGUGGGGAAUAUUGCACAAUGGGGGAAACCCUGAUGCAGCAACGCCGCGUGAAGGAUGACGGUUUUCGGAUUGUAAACUUCUUUUCUUAGUGACGAAGACAGUGACGGUAGCUAAGGAAUAAGCAUCGGCUAACUACGUGCCAGCAGCCGCGGUAAUACGUAGGAUGCAAGCGUUAUCCGGAUUUACUGGGUGUAAAGGGAGCGCAGGCGGGACUGCAAGUUGGAUGUGAAAUACCGUGGCUUAACCACGGAACUGCAUCCAAAACUGUAGUUCUUGAGUGAAGUAGAGGCAAGCGGAAUUCCGAGUGUAGCGGUGAAAUGCGUAGAUAUUCGGAGGAACACCAGUGGCGAAGGCGGCUUGCUGGGCUUUAACUGACGCUGAGGCUCGAAAGUGUGGGGAGCA